Molecule: ribosomal RNA, 646 nt
Filed under: uncultured Actinomycetes bacterium
Lineage: Bacteria; Bacillati; Actinomycetota; Actinomycetes
Description: bacterial SSU rRNA
Rfam family: Bacterial small subunit ribosomal RNA
Source: RNAcentral
CGCGGCCUAUCAGCUUGUUGGUGGGGUAAUGGCCUACCAAGGCGGCGACGGGUAGCCGGCCUGAGAGGGUGUACGGCCACAUUGGGACUGAGAUACGGCCCAGACUCCUACGGGAGGCAGCAGUGGGGAAUAUUGCACAAUGGGCGCAGGCCUGAUACAGCGACGCCGCGUGGGGGAUGAAGGCCUUCGGGUUGUAAACUCCUUUCGCUAGGGACGAAGCUUUUUUGUGACGGUACCUAGAUAAGAAGCACCGGCUAACUACGUGCCAGCAGCCGCGGUAAUACGUAGGGUGCGAGCGUUGUCCGGAAUUACUGGGCGUAAAGGGCUCGUAGGUGGUUUGUCGCGUCGUCUGUGAAAUUCUGGGGCUUAACUCCGGGCGUGCAGGCGAUACGGACAUAACUUGAGUGCUGUAGGGGUAACUGGAAUUCCUGGUGUAGCGGUGAAAUGCGCAGAUAUCAGGAGGAACACCGAUGGCGAAGGCAGGUUACUGGGCAGUUACUGACGCUGAGGAGCGAAAGCAUGGGUAGCGAACAGGAUUAGAUACCCUGGUAGUCCAUGCCGUAAACGGUGGGCGCUAGGUGUGAGGGUCUUUCUACGACUUUCGUGCCGUAGCUAACGCAUUAAGCGCCCCGCCUGGGGAGUACGG